Long non-coding RNA from Pangasianodon hypophthalmus (striped catfish), 11128 nucleotides. RefSeq lists it as uncharacterized. The record is from RefSeq and is a predicted model, not a curated record. NCBI's taxonomy places the organism in Eukaryota, Metazoa, Chordata, Actinopteri, Siluriformes, Pangasiidae. The transcript is spliced from 6 exons.
UACAAAAAUAGUGUAAAAGUAAGAGAGAAACAGUAAAAUAAAAUAAAUAAACUAGAAGUGCAUUUAUGAUGAUGUGCAUUUCCUAAAGGAAAUACACAGUGCAUGAAAAGAACUGAAAGAAAGUUGAAUAGAAAGUUUAAAAAAGGUUAAAAAAGAAGCAGUACUAUUGUGCUCCAGGUCUUUGUUAGGGUUUGUGACAGUUAUGCCACAGAGGUAUUUAUUUGUGGGUUUUGGGGAAAUGAACUGACAGGGCAGUAUUUCUAUUUCUGUCUGGGGCAAUUAAAGGUCCAGGGGUAUGUAUUUAUUUUUAGUUUGGAGCAUUUAGCAUUAUUCUGGGGUUUGGGGUAUGUAGCAGUCAUGGGGGUAUUUAUUUUUGGCUUUGGAACAAUUACAGGUUAGGGGGCAUUUUAUAUUUGCCAUGUGGUUGCUAGGGUACUGCUAGGUGUUUGCUCCAGCUUGCUGCAAAUAUAUUCAUGAUGGUGGCUAGGAUGUUUCUAGGCUGUUGCUAAGGUAUUCCAGAUGGUUGCUGGGUUUUGCUAGGAGGGUGCUCUGGUGUUCCAUGUAGUUGCUAGGAUGUUGCCAGGAACAAGCACCUGGAAUACCAUAGCAACAACCUAGCAACACCCUGGCAACCAUCUGGAAUUACAUAGCAAUCUCCUAGCAAAACUGCUGCUACCACCUAGGAUACCAUAUUAACCAUCUAGCUUUCACCAAGCAGCACCCUAGCAACUACACUGAAUACAAUAACAACCACCAGGCAACACCGUAACAAUGACCUGAAAUACCAUAGCCACCAGCUAGCAACCACCUGGGAUACCAUAGCAACCACUUAGCAUCUAGGGUUACUAGGUGGAAUCUAGAUGGUAGCAACCACUUAGUAACAGCCUAGCAACAACCUUUGAUACCAUAGCAACCACCAUCACUCUGCAUUUUCUUCAGGAAGUACACUUUUUUAGUUAUUCUAGUUUAUUCUAUUUAAGCAGGAGAAAGGAGCGGGAUCAGACUAAUGGUGGCGCUGUAGCAAAGUGCUUUAUGUUUUUUCCAAAAUCCUACAUUGAAUUUUUUUUCCCCCAUUGAUUCCUUGAGUUAUCCCAAACCAAAAAGCCUCAAGAAUUAAAGCUGCUUUGUGACAAUGUCCAUUGUUAAAGGCGCUAUACAAGCAAAAGUGAACUGUAUAGAAUUGAGUCUGACCAGCGUACUGGUGGUACUGUAGUCAAGGGUUUCACAUUUUGGCUCAUAUCUACUGAACCUACAGUGAAAAUUCUUUUUCCACACAUUCCUUGGAUUCUCCCAAGCAAACAAAAAAACAACCAUUAUCCUACCCCAGUUUGAUUUUUGAGCUAAUUUGCACAGAAUGCUAAACCUGCUUUUGUGAACUAGUCCUAUGUUCAGAAAAUUGGUGGGAAACGACUCAGAAGAGUGUGAAAUCUCUGGGGCAGAGUCUAAUUUACUUACAUUCUGUUCAAUUCAAUUUUAUUUAUAUAGUGCCCUUAACAACAUACAUUGUCGCAAAGCAGCUUUACAGAAAUCCGGAAAUAAAUUUCAAUUUCGAUCCCAAACAGCUCAACUAAUGACUAGACUCAAGGAUUUGCUUGAAAGUUGAAAGGGCCCUAUUGGGAUUUGUAAACAGUAUGGCUGCCACAUGCCAGUCAAUCAUAAGACAGGGUUAUCAUUGAGCUAUCACCACCAAACUUGCAUGGUACUUCCCUCCAGGGAUCUGCUAGUAGCUGAUACAAUCUCAUUCAAAUUAAUGCUAUUCAUGUUUGUGCACACAAAAGCAAGCAUAUCUCUUGUACAGUAUGGGGUACUGUGAAACCGUUUGUUCUCCUGCCUCCGUGGCUGACUGCAUUAAGUGGACCAUCACGCUCCUGUGUGAGCCUCCCCCAAACCCUGGUCAAAGGUGAAUGCACACUAUUGUCUAUAAUGUCUUUGUAUCCUGUAGCAUUACAAUUUCCCUCCACUGGAACUAAGGGGCCUAAACCUGUUCCAGCAUGAUAAUGCCCCUGUGCACAAACUUUUGGCCAUAUAGUGCAUUUUAAAAUGGUUAAACAGUGAUCAAUGAUUCAGGAAACGUAAUGAUUAAAACUGUAGGGCCCUAAAGCUGGCCUAACAAUGCUUCUGAUUUUUACCAACCAGCCCAGAUGCCUGGAGGUUUAAUAAUAUUUAACUAGGCAAUGCUCUGACAUUGAUUGGCCCAAGUCUCUCCAUUUUUACCAUGCACUGAAGGAGAAAGGCUAAAUACCUAUGUCAGAACAAACGUCCUUGCACAGUUUGCAAUGAAUAUGGUUUAGUAAAUGUCCCAAAGAAAAGUGUUGAAUGUGCUUUGAGCUUCCAUUCAUCUUUAGCAACCAUCCUAGAAGCGAAUACAGAGCACCUUACACACACAUUUGCUCACUCAUUCAUACCUGAGGGCAAUUUUAGAGUAGUCAGUCUACCCACUGGCUUGUUUAUGGGAGGUGGGAGGAAACUGGACAAUCUGGACAAAGGCCAUUUAUACCCAGGGAGAGCACAGACAGUAACCUGCUGAGGAUCAAAAUCAGGAACGCUGUAGCUGUGAGGCGACAACGCUACCCACUGUACCACCCUGAUUCCAUUCAGAUGCGUACCAGAUUCCCUGUCACUGUGUAUGUCUAUGUGUUUGGGUCUACAAUACAGCUGACUGACUGACUGGAAUCUCAAUUUGAAAUAGUAAAAGGUGUCAAGGUGAGAGCUGCAGUGGUUCUCUGGCUUUGCCAACUUUUACUGAAGGUCCAUUUGUGGAACCAUCAGUGCACCCCACACUUCACUCCUCAAAGGGAAACCCAGAACUCUGAAAUGGAUGGAAGCAGACCAGCAAAGCUCUUGACAACCUUAAGGGCCUAUUCUACAGCAUCCAGAUCCCUCUCUGCCCUUGGUCAUGGAGGUACAGGAGACAUUUAAAAAAGUAGUACAGAGCUAUCCUGUCACAGCAUCAUUGAAAUCCACCUAAACUACAGAGGAUAUAAAAAAUCUACACAUUCCUGUUAAAAUUGCAGGUUUUUGUGAUGUAAAAAAUUAAAUCAAGAUAAAUCAUGUCAGAUCUUUUUCUGCCUUUAAUGCGAUAUAACAACCAACGACUUUUAAGUGAAAAGCAAAUAGAAACUUUUUAGGGGGGAAAUGAAAAAGAAAUGUGUGGAUCCCUGAACUAAUACUUUGUUAAAGCACCUUUCGUUUGCAAUACAGCACUCCGUCUUUUGGAGUAAGAGUUAUUCACUUAGCACAUCUUGAUGUGGCAAUUUCAUUCCACACUUCCAUGCAAAAAAUGAUCCAGAUAUAUCAGAUUAUGAAGGGAUCUCCUGUGCUCUUCAAUUCAUUCCACAGGAUUUCAAUAGGAUUUAGAUCUGGGCUCUUACUGGGUCAUUCAAAAAUGAUCAUCUUUUCUGAAGCCAUUCUUUUGUUUGGUUUGUGCAUUGGGUCAUUGUCAUUCUGUAAGUUGAAAAUUUUCUUCAUCUUCAGCUGUCUAACGGAAGCCUGGAGGUUUUGUUCCAAAAUAGAUUGGUAUUUGCUAUCCAUAAUUCCCUUUUGACUAGAGCCCCAGUCCCAACUGAAGAGAGGCCCCUUAGCAUCAUGCUGCCACCACCAUGCUUCACCAUGGGUAUGGUAUUCUUUGGGUGAUAAUUGGUCUUGUUUUUGUACCAAAACAUAUCUUUUAUAAUUAUGCCCAAAAAGUUCUACCUUGCCAAUCAGAUCAUAACACAUUUUGAGACAUGGUUUGGAUUUAGGCAGGCUUGGAUGUUUUUUCCUUGAGAGAGGGCUUCCACCCUACCCCAUAGCCCAGACAAGCUCCAGUGAGUCCAGAAUGCAGCAACUAGAGUCCUUACUAGAACCAGAAGAUAUGACCACAUCACCCCUAUCUUAUCCACACUGCCACCCCUACUUUGUGAAGGCUCUUUGUUGGAAUCAUGAAUAGCGAAGGCUACAGCAGGGGGUAGAGCUUUCUCUUACAAAGCCCCACAGUUAUGGAACAGCCUUCCUCUUAGCUCAGACACAGUCUCAGUGUUUAAGUCUAGACUGAAAACAUAUUUGUUUAGUCAAGCCUUUAGUGAAUAGUUUUUUCUUAGGUACAGGGGCAGGUCUGGAGGGAUCACAGGCAUAGAGUGUUGUGGUGAACUGGGAUGUUUGAAUGCUGUCGCCCCCCCACUCUCACACGUUCACUCAGGGUUGUCGACGGUGGAGUGGCUGGAGCUUUAUGUCCCAGGAGCCCUCAUGUCUGUGUUAGCUUCUGGCUCUCCCUUUUAGUUAUGCUGUCAUAGCUAGUCUUGCUGGAGUCCCUGCUUGCACUCUGCACGCAAAGUACAUUGUCUUUAACCGUUACAUGACAAUGAGCAUACCUAAUAAUCUGUGACUCUCUCUCUCUCUCUCUCUCUCUCUCUUGGUCAAGCUACACAUGCUACUCCUGAGACACCAGUGAUCUUGACCCUUUGAAUUAAAUUUAUCUUUGGUUAAUUUUUUACAUCACAAAAACCUGCAGCUUUAACAGGGGUGUGUAGACUUUUUAUAUCCACUGUACAUUCUUUCACAUUAUUCAUUAUUGCUCAGCCCUAUGACAUGCGUAACUGAGAACUCCUGCCAAUAAAAGGGGAUCUUGAAGAAUGGAGACCUUGGGUCUCUACCCAGUGUCUGGGGGCUGAAAACCUGUGUCUCAUUCUAACGGACCACAGGCAUCUUGACUGUGUAAAAUCUACAAAGAGACUUUGGCAGAGAUUCUGAAAAUCUGAUCGCACACCAUUGCAACACUCAAUACAGAGUUCCAAACUACCUCUACAAGUAACAUCAGCACAGCAACUGUUCAUUGGGAGCUUCAUGAAAUGGGUUCCACUGCAAGCAACUGCACACAAGCCUAAGAUCACCAUGUUCUCUGGAGUGAUGUAUCAUGCUUCACUCUCUGGCAGUCUGAUGGAUGAAUCUGGAUUUGGCGGAUGCAAGGAGAACGCUAUCUACCAGAAUGCCUGGUGCCAACAGUAAAGUUUAGUGGAGGAUGGUCUGGUGAUGUUUGGGCUAUGCCUCUGUGAAGGGUAAGGUUAAUGCUAUAGCAUACAAAGACAUUUUAGAAAUUUAUAUGCUUCCAGCUUUGUAGCAACAUUUUGGGGAAGACCCUUUCCUGUUUCCAUCAUGACAAUGCCCUUGUGCACAAAUCAAGGUCCAUAAAGACAUGGUUUGAACACCUUUGGGUUGAAUUGGAACACUGUUUGCUUGCCAGGCCUUCUUAUCCAAGAUUAGUGCCUGACCUCACAAAUCCUCUUUUGAUAGAAUGAGCACAAAUUCCCAUAGACACACUUUAAAAUAUAGUGGAAAGCCUUUCCAGAAGAAUGGAUGCUGUUAUAGCCCCAAAGGUGGGGGCAACUCAAUAUUAAUGCCCACUCAAUAUUAUUGACACCCUUAAAGAUUAUUUUAAAUAAAUGCAAACAUUCAUUCUUGAAAAACAUACACUGUUUUUAAUUUGCUCUCAGUCCCUAGCAACUCUCUUGCUUUUCACCAUCUUGCACUGGUGAACUAGCACAGCUUGACUUGACCAACCAUCCCUCAAGGUACAAAGAAGAUAUGCAUCUAGACUCUUCUCUGUCCUGGCAUCCAGGUGAUGUAAUGAACUUUCUCUGUCUUUCUGAACAGCUCAGUCACUGUCUGUCUUCAUACAGAGACAUACGUCUUCACCAAGCACUUGAAUUAGCACUUAUAUAAGCUAUUAAACAAUUCCUUUGACUUGUAUGUUUUCAUGCCCUACUACGUUCCUCUAAAAGGUUAUUUUAGUUUUAUAUUAUAUUUAUAUUAGUUUGAUGGUAUUUUUAGUCUCUGACCUAGUGGCCAUGAGGAAAGUUUUUCACAGACACUGCAAAGCACAUGUGUAAUUUUCUCUAGUUAAGGGUGACUGCUAAAUGCUGUAAAUGUAAAUGCAAUUAGCAGUUAAAUUGUCUCAACAAAUGAAAAUUUCCCAGGAUUUGGCCCCAUGAGCACAAUGCACCACCAGGAGGAUGGUGAAGUUGGGAAAACAGUUUUAGAAUUGUCCAAUUGAUUCUUGUGGUUGACAGGUUUCAAAAUCAACUAUUAAAUUCUACUUUCAUUAAAAAAAAACAAACAAGCAGUUUGAAAGCAUUGCAAGAAAGAAGCCAUUCCUGAGAGCAUCUCACGCAACCUCAUUAAAACUACAGUUCCCUAAGUAAUAAGUGUCAUUAAAACUACAGUUGGCAUCAUGUGUUUUGGUCAAAUGAGGCCAAAAUUCAAACUUUUGGUCAUACCCAUUAACAUUUUGGUGACAAAAGAGGACUGCAUACAAGGAAAAGCACCUGGUACAAACUGGUGGUGGAUCAGUGAUGCCCCAGGGCUGUUUUGUGGUUCAGGGCCUCCUGUGAAGAUUGAUGACCAUCAACUCUGCCAGGUACCAAGAUAUUUCAGCCUAAAACCUGGUUGUCUCUUCCAGAACAUUCAGACUUGGCCAUAGAUAGAGCUUUCAACAAGAUUCAUUCACCUUCAGUAAGCAUUUUAUCCUGCUUAGGGCUUAGGACUGGGAGCCUAUCCCAGUAAUGCUGGUGCAAGGUGGGAGAAUUCACCCUGGAUGGGAUGCCAGUCCAUUGCAAGGCACCCUUCACCGUGUCCACACCUAGGGGCAAGUUACCGUAGCCAACCUGCCUAUCUGCCUAUUAUUGGGAUGUGGGAGGAAACUGGGUAACCCAGAGAAAACCAUGCAAACAGAGGGAGAACAUGAGAAACUCCACACAGACAGUAACCCAAGCUAAGGAUCAGACCAGGGAUGCCGGCGCUGUGAGGAAGUGUGAAGAACCACUGUGACACCGCCUGCUGUCAACAAGAUGAUGAUCCAAAUACACAAAAUUCUAAUCAAUACAGAAAUGGUUAAAGAAACAAAACAUCACUAGAUGCAUCUCAGUCUCUGGAUUUUAACCCCACGGGAAACGUGUGGUCUGCAAGUCCACUUGCAAUAAACAUACAAUAUAAAGGAGCUUAGACUUUUAUGCAUGGAGGAGUGGAGCAAAAUCCACUGCUCUACAAGUCUCUCCAACAUUAUUUGACAUUACACUAUGAAACCCAGUGCUGUUAUUCUCUCCAAGGCACAAUAUAUUAUAUACACAAUAUGGCUGAAAGACACUUCAUCAUCACACACAUAUGUGCUUUUCGAACAUCUCAUUCCAGACUCAGUCCCUCAUUGCUGGUAUAAUAACCUCCUCUCUUCUGGGAAGGCUUUCCACUAGAUUCCCUAUUCAUGUCUUCAUGGAGCUCGCUUUGUGCACAGGGGCAUUGUCAUGCUGGAACAGGUUUCAGCCUCUUAGUUCCAGUGAAGGGAAACUGUAAAGCUACAGCACACAGAGACGUUCUAUACAACUGUGUGCACAAGACAUUGUUGUUUUUAAAUGAUCAUUCUCCAUCGUUAUUGAAAGGAAGUUGUUGUGGACAAUCAUUCGAUCAUUAUAAUGAAAUGCUGCUUAAAGAAGCACUCCUGAUUCUGAUGGCGUGUCCAGUGAAUUUUUCUGAUCUUCCUGAAAUGUAACAAACCUGAAAACUAAAGUAAAUCUGAUAAAAUAUUAUUAUUAUUAGAUGGCUAUUGUUGUCAACUAUAAAUAACAGUUUCUUGAUUUGGGAAGAUAUUGCUGUUUCGAAACACAAUUACUCAGUCACAUUAGACAGAAGAUAGAAAGUUUUCCAGAAGGUUCCACAGGACAUCUGGUUCAGGAGUUGAUAAAAGUUAGAUAAUUAAAACUAACUAAUAAUUAUUUAAUAAAAUGGCUACAAUGUGUGAAUGAAAAAAUUAUUUCCCAGUAGCCAUGUUUUUUCACUGUUUCCCAGUAGUGAAAGAUUUUUAAAAAAUAUAUAUAGCUGAUAUAGAUCACGCCCACUUCCUGUCUAUAUGUACACUAUAUAACCAAAAGUAUGUGCACCCCUGAAAAUCACACCCAUAUGUGGUUCUUCUCUAAACUGUUACCACAAAGUAUGAAACACACAGUUGUAUAGAACGUCUCUGUGUGCUGUAGCUUUACAGUUUCCCUUCACUGGAACUAAGAGGCUCAAACCUGUUCCAGCAUGACAAUGCCCCUGUGCACAAAGCCAGCUCCAUGAAGACAUGGUGUGUGAAGGUUGGAGUGGAAGAACUCGAGUGUCCUGCACAGAGCCCUGACAUCAACCCCACUGAACACCUUUGAGAUGAACUGGAACACCGACUGAACCCCACAUCAGUAUGGAAAUCAAGUGUUGGACUGGUACGCUUGUACCGUGCUAUAGUAGAGAUCACAUCAGGGGUGAGGAGCCUUGGUCUGCUGCCUCCGGUGGCUUUGGGGACCCAGAGACCGGUGCGUCGAUACCAGCGUAGAGGACGGCCAUUGACAAACCUUCCUCCAAGCUGAUUCAAGCUGCCUUCCUCUGGGGGAAAAAAACCCCAAAACCUACAUGAGCAACUGUGGUGUUCGUAUAAGCCCAGUUGAGUUCAUAGGCUGAUUUCAUCCCCAGCACGCGCAGGACACUGCACCAGUGCACAUGCAAGUGACAGGACUCUUCACAAAGCUGCUGAAGUGUAUGAAUUGAGAAAUGUCUCUUAUCCUCCACAUGGAUGUAAAGCCUGUUUUUUCCUCCUUCUCUGCACUGAGCAGACGCCAACGUGGCGCUCGCACAGGACGCUCGUGUGCUUGGCGCAUUCUCAUGAAGGUUAUAGCGACGCUGCAUUUUAAGCAAACAUUUGAAAAUCUGUCGAGCAGAUGGUAAAGUGCUUUUGAUAAAUCCCAGCUCCAUCCUCUAGCCUCUUUUUAUUACAUUUUCUUUCAAGGAUGAGCAAAUAGAGCCGGAUGGUGCGAAUGCGGCCCAAUGGUGGCUUUAUUCAUAAAAAAGCUCACAGAUGUGUGUUGUCCAAGCAGCAGAUACAAUGUGCUGUAAACGUUUGAAAGGAAAUAUUUAGAGAGUAAAUAUUAGCGAGGUGGAAGCCACGCGAGCCUCGUAUUUGGUCAAGUUUAAUGACUAAUUGGGCAUCAUUAGGUCAGUCCACGCAGAGCGAAGACGUCGGAAAUAAAGGGUGGAAUUUAAAAUGCCAUAUGGCCCAAAUUACACAUUAACCCCAGCUUCCAGCAGCGGAAGAUGGGCAGCUCGGAGCACUUGGGAUUAUAUGGCGAAAGGAGUCUGAACGCCACAUUGUCCUUGACAACGAGAAGAAAGCACAAAGUAAUGCACUAGCAGCUUCCACACAGAGGGCUUAUCACACUGAGCUUUUUAACACGCAGGUUUCUGAGAAGUGCAGUGAGCUAAAAGCACUGAGAGUUUCUAAAUGCGCAAUUCUGUUUGGAUCACUGAAAAGUGUGCUCACUGCUGCACUCUGGGCAUAAACACAGAUCUCUGCUGGUGUCAGAACUGUUGUGCUGUGUUUAAGGAGUUGGUUUUCAGAGCCACGGGGUCAGUGUCUGCCCUGAAAGCAGUGCAUUUCCCUCGCGUAAAUGUGCACAGAGAGGAGAGCUACCCAAAUGCGCACGAGCAUUCCCCGCAUUCCCGGAUGUUCCAGACAGCCAAGCCAUCAUCCAAACGCUGAAUCACAGUCGAAUCAAGCUCCAGAGUCUCAUCCACACGUUACACACACACAUAAAGCUGGAAGAUGUGUCUAAAGGGUGCUUGCUCUGCUUAUGGAUGAUGUUUUCCUGAAGUGUUGAAUACUGCAUUCCCUCAGCCGUGUAUCUGAAAUCCCAGCUACAGGCUCCUACACUUCAUUCAGGAGCCAUGUGAAUGAGUCAGAUUGCACAUGAACCCCAUACUGAAGCUGUUUACAAGCUGUAUCUGCUCUACACAUGAAUAUACAUUUAAUCCAGCUAUUCUUCUUUUCUGUAAUGUCUCUGCAUAAAUAAAGCACAACUGCAUUCCAUACAAACACUGUUCCUAUUGUCACAGUAGUUUAAAUAUAAGUGUACACACAGUUUAAAUGUAGGCCUAUAAACACAUAUAUCCUAACAUCAUUACAGAACUAUCAGAAGUCUCCACUGUAAAGGCUAAUGUCUUCGACAUGUACACUGAAAUAUUUCAAAUAGAAGCAAAACUUUAGAGCAGAUGUAACAAUACAUAUGUAUGUAGAUUAUUUGCCUGUAAUAGAUUUUUUUCUAACAAACAAAAGGUAUGAAACUGUAUUGCUGUCUGGGUAAACACAGACUAAUGCUUCUCUAUUCCACUAACUCCAGGAGGACAGGAGGACAGGAGGACAGGAGGGGUUUCUUCAUCAGUGCUGCUGUGAGUUCAGCACGUAAACCUGUGUUUUAUAGGGAACACUGAUACACUAGCAGGUACUUAUAUUAUCAAGAUAAAGUGCAAAGGCAAUUACAGAUGAUUUCUCUUAAACCAAUCAAACUUGGAUAAACAGUAAAAGCCACCUGAUGGAGUUUAUAGGGUGAGUAGACAUUAAUCUAAAGCUCUGGCUAAUUAUGAGGCACCAUGUCACAAUAUCAAACACUAAGAGGAAACCUUGUGAUAAACUAAUAUUACAUAUGAUAUAACACUAACUCUUCCACAAUACUGUGUGCCUUCUUCAGCGUUUUCCUGACUAGAAUACUGCUAGAUUUCUUUCAUUGUUAUUAAGCUAAUAAUAAUAAUAACACUACACUGUCUGAUGCAUAAGAAUAAACACAUAACAAAGGUUAUAAAACACAUAAACACAUAACAAAACACUCUAUUUUUUUUAAAAAAGACGAACAGUUUGUGUGCGCGCGCUUUCGGCUCCAGCUGUUCUGUGUGCGCGCGCUUUCGGCUCCAGCUGUUCUGUGUGCGCGCAGACACUUAUUGUGUUGGAGCCUAAAAUAAUAAACAAAGAGAGAGAAAAAAAAAAGCAGAUCACUUCCAAAGUUGAAUCUUUUCCCGCAAGCACAGAUCUGAGACCCUCUGCGUCAGAAGGGAUGAAUCCAGCUGUUUGAAGCAGAGGUUUCCUUCAGGAGAAAAACUUCUUAUAUUACUGUCACAUUCCACAUUCUGCACUGUUCCUACUUAAACGUAAGUAAAUGUGUGAUAUUGAGCAGGUUAACUGCUUUGAACAAAAGGUCAGAUUCCCCUCAUGUCUAAUCUCCUCUACUGAAGCGUGUGAUCAGACGACACUCUGAUGGAUCUGAUCUAAAAUGGAUCAUGAGGAAGCUUGUGGAGUCCAUGCCAG